Molecule: ribosomal RNA, 1470 nt
Filed under: Vibrio owensii
Lineage: Bacteria; Pseudomonadati; Pseudomonadota; Gammaproteobacteria; Vibrionales; Vibrionaceae
Description: bacterial SSU rRNA
Rfam family: Bacterial small subunit ribosomal RNA
Source: RNAcentral
AGAUUGAACGCUGGCGGCAGGCCUAACACAUGCAAGUCGAGCGGAAACGAGUUAUCUGAACCUUCGGGGAACGAUAACGGCGUCGAGCGGCGGACGGGUGAGUAAUGCCUAGGAAAUUGCCCUGAUGUGGGGGAUAACCAUUGGAAACGAUGGCUAAUACCGCAUAAUGCCUACGGGCCAAAGAGGGGGACCUUCGGGCCUCUCGCGUCAGGAUAUGCCUAGGUGGGAUUAGCUAGUUGGUGAGGUAAUGGCUCACCAAGGCGACGAUCCCUAGCUGGUCUGAGAGGAUGAUCAGCCACACUGGAACUGAGACACGGUCCAGACUCCUACGGGAGGCAGCAGUGGGGAAUAUUGCACAAUGGGCGCAAGCCUGAUGCAGCCAUGCCGCGUGUGUGAAGAAGGCCUUCGGGUUGUAAAGCACUUUCAGUCGUGAGGAAGGUAGUGUAGUUAAUAGCUGCAUUAUUUGACGUUAGCGACAGAAGAAGCACCGGCUAACUCCGUGCCAGCAGCCGCGGUAAUACGGAGGGUGCGAGCGUUAAUCGGAAUUACUGGGCGUAAAGCGCAUGCAGGUGGUUUGUUAAGUCAGAUGUGAAAGCCCGGGGCUCAACCUCGGAAUAGCAUUUGAAACUGGCAGACUAGAGUACUGUAGAGGGGGGUAGAAUUUCAGGUGUAGCGGUGAAAUGCGUAGAGAUCUGAAGGAAUACCGGUGGCGAAGGCGGCCCCCUGGACAGAUACUGACACUCAGAUGCGAAAGCGUGGGGAGCAAACAGGAUUAGAUACCCUGGUAGUCCACGCCGUAAACGAUGUCUACUUGGAGGUUGUGGCCUUGAGCCGUGGCUUUCGGAGCUAACGCGUUAAGUAGACCGCCUGGGGAGUACGGUCGCAAGAUUAAAACUCAAAUGAAUUGACGGGGGCCCGCACAAGCGGUGGAGCAUGUGGUUUAAUUCGAUGCAACGCGAAGAACCUUACCUACUCUUGACAUCCAGAGAACUUUCCAGAGAUGGAUUGGUGCCUUCGGGAACUCUGAGACAGGUGCUGCAUGGCUGUCGUCAGCUCGUGUUGUGAAAUGUUGGGUUAAGUCCCGCAACGAGCGCAACCCUUAUCCUUGUUUGCCAGCGAGUAAUGUCGGGAACUCCAGGGAGACUGCCGGUGAUAAACCGGAGGAAGGUGGGGACGACGUCAAGUCAUCAUGGCCCUUACGAGUAGGGCUACACACGUGCUACAAUGGCGCAUACAGAGGGCAGCAAGCUAGCGAUAGUGAGCGAAUCCCAAAAAGUGCGUCGUAGUCCGGAUUGGAGUCUGCAACUCGACUCCAUGAAGUCGGAAUCGCUAGUAAUCGUGGAUCAGAAUGCCACGGUGAAUACGUUCCCGGGCCUUGUACACACCGCCCGUCACACCAUGGGAGUGGGCUGCAAAAGAAGUAGGUAGUUUAACCUUCGGGAGGACGCUUACCACUUUGUGGUUCAUGAC